This is a non-coding RNA of Fukomys damarensis (Damara mole-rat), 333 nucleotides long. The record is from Rfam. NCBI's taxonomy places the organism in Eukaryota, Metazoa, Chordata, Mammalia, Rodentia, Bathyergidae.
GGAUGCAAAGGUAAUCUGGUGGUGCCAUCUGCCACCCCAUUGAUUGCCGGCGUUGAUUCAGCUGAUCUGUCUGGCUAGGCAGGGUCCUCUUCCUCCCUAACUGUUCCAUGUGCAUCCCUCCUGAAGCUCUAUGCUGGGUUGGAAGAGCAAGGCCACUCCUGAUAGAGGAAGACCGUUUUCUUGGUCAAGGGUAUGUGAAUAGCUGUGCUCCCCUGCCAGAACCUCCAAAGAAGCUCUUGAGAAGCCUGAGCCUUCCAUUGAGCACCUGGAGUUACAAUCAGCCCUCAGAAAUGAGUUGAGUUCAGAAGCCAAAGGUUCUACUUUAAGGUUCCU